Panicum virgatum (switchgrass) is the source of this 1068-nucleotide long non-coding RNA. RefSeq lists it as uncharacterized. The transcript is spliced from 2 exons. NCBI's taxonomy places the organism in Eukaryota, Viridiplantae, Streptophyta, Magnoliopsida, Poales, Poaceae. The record is from RefSeq and is a predicted model, not a curated record.
GGGGCCAUCGCCUCGCUGCUUGUCCUCCGGCCUCCGGCGCCGCCUGCCAGGCAUGGAGGCACCGGCGCCCUCCACAGCCUCCGCCGGCCCUCCUCCCUCCGCCUACUCCCCUCUAUCCAAAUCUGCUCGUCGCCCCAAAACUGCACUGCAUCACAGGCGCGGGCGUAGCUGCUCCUCUGUCCCCUCCCUCCCGCCCGCCCUUCGCCUCCAGAUCCACGAGGCCGUGCAGCCGCGUAGGCGCGGGUGCGGCACCGGCACGCCACCGUGCCCCCAGCUUGCCCGUUGGCCUGUUGGGUAAACAAAUCGGCUGGCCCGCCCUCCUCCCUUGAUACAACCAAGAUGGAUCGAAGUUGGGUGCAUGCGAGAAUGUUUUCUACUGAACACAUCGAUGGUGUCAAACAAUUUAUGAGCUUCGUUCAAGGAAAAUUCAGUGAGAAUGUCGAAAUUUUGUGCCCAUGUGCUAGAUGCCUUAAUCAGAAGUACCUUUGUCAACCCCUUGUCAAGAAGCACAUAUUGAUGAAUAGAAUGGACAACAGUUAUACUCGGUGGAUUCAUCAUGGAGCGAGCUUAGAUGUGGAUGUAAUUGAGCAUCCUAAUGAUAUGCAUGACAAUGCUGAGGGGGUAUAUGGGCAAUGUGUGAUAGAGGACGACAGUGCUGAUCGCUUGGAAGGGAUGUUAGGAGACCUACACACUGCAGCUGAACAAGAAGAGACGAUGGAGAAAAUCAGGAUGGUGAUACAGAACCUCAUCACCAAGAGUCUUUUUUAAAAAUAAUCAUGAGAGAGGCAAAUCGUCAACUUUAUCCUGGAUGUACCAAAUUUUCAAGAUUCUCUUUUGUGGUACAGCUUCUUCGUAUGAAAUCGCUAUAUAGGAUAAGCAAUUCUGUCUUUUCAGCAAUAUUGAAGCUAUUGGCUGAAGCUUUCCCGGAAUGCAAUGCACUCCCCACUUCAUAUAAUGAAGCAAAGAAUCUUCUAAAAGAGUUAGGUCUCGGAUAUGAAUCGAUACAUGUGUGCUUCAAUAAUUGUGUGUUGUUCAGAAAGCAAUAUGCCAAACAUGACAAUUGUCCCA